This 435-nucleotide ribosomal RNA is filed under the name uncultured bacterium. RNAcentral's name for it is "bacterial SSU rRNA". It matches the Rfam family "Bacterial small subunit ribosomal RNA", at positions 43 to 524 of the family's 1533-position model. The record is from RNAcentral.
CAGGCCUAACACAUGCAAGUCGAACGAAGGCUUCGGCCUUAGUGGCGCACGGGUGCGUAACGCGUGGGAACCUGCCCUUUGGUAUGGAAUAACUCAGGGAAACUUGAGCUAAUACCGUAUGAUGUCGAGAGACCAAAGAUUUAUCGCCAGGGGAUGGGCCCGCGUCCGAUUAGCUUGUUGGUGGGGUAAAGGCCUACCAAGGCGACGAUCGGUAGCUGGUCUGAGAGGAUGAUCAGCCACACUGGGACUGAGACACGGCCCAGACUCCUACGGGAGGCAGCAGUGGGGAAUAUUGGACAAUGGGCGAAAGCCUGAUCCAGCAAUGCCGCGUGAGUGAUGAAGGCCUUAGGGUUGUAAAGCUCUUUUACCCGGGAAGAUAAUGACUGUACCGGGAGAAUAAGCCCCGGCUAACUCCGUGCCAGCAGCCGCGGUAAU